GAUGAUGGAAGCCAUCAACUUGAGAUGUGAAAAAGAUCUUCAGUCAAAGAAGCUCUGAUAAGGAAGAAGGCUUGGAUCCAGACUGAAACUGAUGCCCAGACUCCUAACGUGCCAAGUAUGCUACAACAUGCAAAAGCAGGACUUUGGCAGGACCUGAGUUGAUUAGAAGGAGUUAAUUUCAUGUAAAACCAGUGGGGG
Cottoperca gobio is the source of this 198-nucleotide long non-coding RNA. RefSeq lists it as uncharacterized. NCBI's taxonomy places the organism in Eukaryota, Metazoa, Chordata, Actinopteri, Perciformes, Bovichtidae. The transcript has 3 exons. The record is from RefSeq and is a predicted model, not a curated record.